CUCGAUUUCUUUAUUAUUGGACUAAUACUCUAGAUUCGUUGAUUUUUUAAAAGGACUUUCUGAGAUUAUGCAAUUAAACAUACAUUGUUCAUUUUAAUGUAUGUGAAUAUUAUUACUAAUACUUUAGACUGUUAUUUAGAAUGCAAAUGUCGGUCUCAGUCUAGAUCUGACCAGUAGGAAAUACUAAACAUCCUAAACAGCUGUUUUACAUUUAUUUGACGUUAGAAUAAAGUAAUCAACUGAGAAGACAGAAGAACCAAAAUUUGAGAAAAUAACAGGAGUGAAAAAUAUGUCAGACAGUAUGACAUUCCGUUCAGCACCGAAGUUCUUUGAGUUAUUUCAAAUUAUCUGCGUUGUAAUCUCACUUGGCGGAGGAAUAUUAAUAAUAUUGGACAAAGCCAUCAAAUCAUUAUUUUGCAAAUAUGGCAACCAAACGACAUCAAAACCGUUGUUUAUAUCUUUGUUUAUUGGAUUUCUCCAUCAGAUAUUCCUAACUUUAAAUUGGGCGUGAAAAACUUCCAAUUUGUGCAGUUUGGAUAUAUUAAUGAAAGAUAUGUAUUCUUUGCCAGUCGUCUGCUUCGUAUUGACCUUCACCCUACUUACACUAUCUCAAAGUUCAAUUUUGGGGUCAACUGCUCGGAAGUUUAUUUAUGCAACGUAUGUUUCAACUACCAUUUUAUUUGUUAUUGGAAUGAGAACAAUUUUUAAUCUAUGUUACUAUGGUUAUAAUUUUAAGCUGACAUUCGGAAGUUGUGACAUGUCUUUCGAAACGUCAUUGCACAAUCAGAUGAACAUCACAAUGUCAUCGUUUUUGUGUGCAUAUAACAGUCCAGUCUCGUGUUAUAUUUUGGAAUACACGUUAAUAUAUGUGCCAAGCACAGCAAUCCUGUUUAACAACAUACGAAUUACAUUAGAAAUAUUCAAACAAAAUUGGCAGAGAAAGUUUGGUACGAUUCAAGAAAAUGAGAAACAUGAUACCGAUGACAUGACACAGAAAUAUAUCUUAAUACUUUUCCUUUUGGUAAUAUGGAUUAUCAGACCAAUGUCCUGCAUAUUGAACCUAUGUUAUAGUUUUACGUCAGAAGACUUGAUUCCUAGUAUGACUAUUCUAAUUUUGUAUAUUUGUUUACCCUGGUAUUUUUCACAGCUAAUUGUUUUGCAGUCGUCUAAGAAUGAAAAGAAUUCAAUCACUUACACUCCACUUAAAUACACCGUUGAAAGUGUAUCGUAUAGUAAGUAAUUGUCGCGAAUAUUAAACUCAAUUACAAUGAA
Molecule: long non-coding RNA, 1272 nt
Organism: Mytilus trossulus (common blue mussel)
Lineage: Eukaryota; Metazoa; Mollusca; Bivalvia; Mytilida; Mytilidae
Exons: 3
Source: RefSeq, a predicted model, not a curated record